Molecule: transfer RNA, 77 nt
Filed under: Geobacteraceae bacterium GWB2_52_12
Lineage: Bacteria; Pseudomonadati; Thermodesulfobacteriota; Desulfuromonadia; Geobacterales; Geobacteraceae
Also listed under: 2 other names
Description: tRNA-Pro
Rfam family: tRNA
About the family: Transfer RNA (tRNA) molecules are approximately 80 nucleotides in length. Their secondary structure includes four short double-helical elements and three loops (D, anti-codon, and T loops).
Source: RNAcentral
CGGGAUGUAGCGCAGCUUGGUAGCGCACCUGCUUCGGGAGCAGGGGGUCGCUAGUUCGAAUCUAGUCAUCCCGACCA